AGUGAACGCUGGCGGUAGGCCUAACACAUGCAAGUCGAACGGCAGCACAGUAAGAGCUUGCUCUUACGGGUGGCGAGGGGCGGACGGGUGAGGAAUACAUCGGAAUCUACUUUUUCGUGGGGGAUAACGUAGGGAAACGUACGCUAAUACCGCAGACGACCUACGGGGGAAAGCAGGGGAUCGUCGGACCUUGAGCGAUGGAAGGAGCCGAGGUCGGAUUAGCUAGUUGGCGGGGUAAAGGCCCACCAAGGCGACGAUCCGUAGCUGGUCUGAGAGGAUGAUCCGCCCCACUGGCCCUCCGCCCCGGUCCCGCCUCCUCCGGUCGGCAGCCGUGUGGCCUCUUGGACAAUGGGCGCCAUCCUGCUCCAGCCAUACCGCGUGGGUGACGCAUGCCUUCGGGUUGUACAGCCCUUUUGUUGGGACAGAAAAGCCGCCGGUUAAUCCCCCGCUGUUCUGCCGGUACCCAAAGAAUACGCACCGGCUAACUUCGUG
This 492-nucleotide ribosomal RNA is filed under the name uncultured bacterium. Its description in RNAcentral is "partial 16S ribosomal RNA". It matches the Rfam family "Bacterial small subunit ribosomal RNA", at positions 28 to 507 of the family's 1533-position model. The record is from RNAcentral.